CCUACGGGUGGCAGCAGUGAGGAAUAUUGGUCAAUGGGCGGAAGCCUGAACCAGCCAAGUCGCGUGAGGGAUUAAGGCCCUGCGGGUCGUAAACCUCUUUUGCCGGGGAGCAGUUGUCCGGACGCGUCCGGACCGGGAGAGUACCAGGAGAAAAAGCAUCGGCUAACUCCGUGCCAGCAGCCGCGGUAAUACGGAUGGGGCAAGCGUUACCCGGAUUUUUUGGGUGUAAAGGGCGGGUAGGCGGGAGCGCAAGUCCGAUGUGAAAACUGGGGGCUCAACCCUGCGACUGCAUUUGAAACUGUGGUUCUUGAGUGCUGGAGAGGCAAUCGGAAUUCCGGGUGUAGCGGUGAAAUGCGUAGAUAUACGGAGGAACACCAGUGGCGAAGGCGGAUUGCUGGACAGUAACUGACGCUGAGGCGCGAAAGCGUGGGGAGCGAACAGGAUUAGAUACCCGUGUAGUC
RNAcentral lists this ribosomal RNA (461 nucleotides) under uncultured bacterium. RNAcentral describes it as "partial 16S ribosomal RNA". It matches the Rfam family "Bacterial small subunit ribosomal RNA", at positions 338 to 795 of the family's 1533-position model. The record is from RNAcentral.